CCUUUGUUGUGUACCAAUGGUCGUCUCUUGUUGCCAUCACCUCGAGAGACACCGUUAGUGCGCUACAAAGG
This is a non-coding RNA of Cordylochernes scorpioides, 71 nucleotides long. The record is from the annotation of a GenBank genome assembly. NCBI's taxonomy places the organism in Eukaryota, Metazoa, Arthropoda, Arachnida, Pseudoscorpiones, Chernetidae.